GAGAAGAUAGUUUAAAAAAAACAAGUGAUUUCGGAUUACUAAAUUCUAAUAAAAAUAGAGCUUCUUU
This 67-nucleotide transfer RNA is filed under the name Ophiocten ludwigi. Its description in RNAcentral is "tRNA-Arg". Lineage: Eukaryota; Metazoa; Echinodermata; Ophiuroidea; Amphilepidida; Ophiuridae. The record is from RNAcentral.